UGCAGCAUGCCAGCUGAACCUCUUCGGUUGCUUUCCAGUGUUUCUGACUGUGCUCGGAAUGCUGCUUCCAGUUUCUUUCUCGUUUCCCUGCAGACUUUUUGUUUUGCUCACUGCUUAACGAGCUGCAUAAGAAGGUCAUUGAAAUUAACAGCUUAUGAAGUGAUUUUAAUACCGCAAAGUGGCAGCAACUCCAUCUACAUCUACAUCUUUGAAAUGCCUGCACAUUAAAAUCGAUACUCCUCAUCAACCUUUAGAAGAACAGCCAUGGACAGUAGUGCCUGUGCACAAACCUUGGGCUGAUCACCUAAAUGAACAGAAAAGGCUAGGAGUGAGACUGCUCCAAGAUCCACUUCAGGACUAACUCUGACCUCAGAGACACAGA
Molecule: long non-coding RNA, 382 nt
Organism: Acipenser ruthenus (sterlet)
Lineage: Eukaryota; Metazoa; Chordata; Actinopteri; Acipenseriformes; Acipenseridae
Exons: 3
Source: RefSeq, a predicted model, not a curated record